Molecule: ribosomal RNA, 423 nt
Filed under: uncultured archaeon
Lineage: Archaea
Description: partial 16S ribosomal RNA
Rfam family: Archaeal small subunit ribosomal RNA
Source: RNAcentral
CUACGGGGCGGCUGCAGGCGAGAAAACUUUGCAAUGUGCGAAAGCACGACAAGGUUAAUCCGAGUGGUUUGUGCUAAACGAACCUUUUGACAGUCCUAGAAACACUGUUGAAUAAGGGGUGGGCAAGUUCUGGUGUCAGCCGCCGCGGUAAAACCAGCACCUCAAGUGGUCAGGAUGAUUAUUGGGCCUAAAGCAUCCGUAGCCGGCUCUGUAAGUUUUCGGUUAAAUCUGUACGCUCAACGUACAGGCUGCCGGGAAUACUGCAGAGCUAGGGAGUGGGAGAGGUAGACGGUACUCGGUAGGAAGGGGUAAAAUCCUUUGAUCUAUUGAUGACCACCUGUGGCGAAGGCGGUCUACCAGAACACGUCCGACGGUGAGGGAUGAAAGCUGGGGGAGCAAACCGGAUUAGAUACCCCUGUAGUC